AUUAGGGUCUGCUACACAAGCAGUUGGGCCCAUACCCCAAAAACGGACUAUACCCCCUAAUA
This 62-nucleotide transfer RNA is filed under the name Calotes nigrilabris. Its description in RNAcentral is "tRNA-Met". Lineage: Eukaryota; Metazoa; Chordata; Lepidosauria; Squamata; Agamidae. The record is from RNAcentral.